AUUGCCUCAGUAACGGCGAGUGAAGCGGCAACAGCUCAAAUUUGAAAUCUGGCUUCGGCCCGAGUUGUAAUUUGCAGAGGAUGCUUGUGCCCGGCCCGCCCAAAGUCCCCUGGAACCGGGGCGCCUCAGAGGGUGAGAGCCCCGUACGGGCGGGUUCCAAUUCUUGUGAAGGCCUUUCGACGAGUCGAGCAGUUUGGGAAUGCUGCUCUAAGUGGGAGGUAAAUCCUUCUAAAGCUAAAUACCGGCUGGAGACCGAUAGCGCACAGGUAGAGUGAUGAAAGAUGAAAAGUACUUUGAAAGAGGGUCAAACAGCACGUGAAAUUGUUGAAAGGGAAGCGCCCGUGGCCAGACUCGCGGCGGCUCGGUCACCCGCCUUCUCGCGGGUGACCCCGCGCUUGCAGGCCAGCACCGGCUUUGUGGCGGGGGGACAAUGGCUUCGGGAACGUGACUUUCUUCGCUGGAGUGUUAUAGCCCGGGGCGCAAUGCCCCUUGCGGGAGCCGAGGUUCGCGCUCUGCAAGGAUGCUGGCGUAAUGGUCCCCGGCGACCCGUCUUGAAACACGGA
Molecule: ribosomal RNA, 563 nt
Filed under: Linocarpon pandanicola
Lineage: Eukaryota; Fungi; Ascomycota; Sordariomycetes; Chaetosphaeriales; Linocarpaceae
Description: eukaryotic LSU rRNA
Rfam family: Eukaryotic large subunit ribosomal RNA
Source: RNAcentral